CAAGUUCGAAACAGCUCAACAGUGACGAUACACUGGCGUGUCGAGCGGGUCUGCGGUACUCUAGCGGGGUUGACUCUCAAUUAUUAGACUUACAACAAAUGCAACCAACACUGCCUAUUGGCAAAUGAUCAAUGUGGCAACGACAAGUAAUAACAAAUAUACAAGCAUUCUUUUCUUUCACUCCCAAUAUUGAUUCCACACGAGGACAAAAACACAUCUAACAAUCCAACAACAACAUUACCUUCGCCACGACGAAUACAUCAAAACUCAACAAUUAAUUAAUCUCAAUUGAUAUUUUACACACAUUCAUAUUUUUUCAAUUUCAUAUAUACACAAUUAAAUUCAAAAUAGAUUAAACACAUACACAUACUUUUAAUUCACUUACACAAUUAAAUCUAAACACAA
Long non-coding RNA from Drosophila sechellia, 405 nucleotides. RefSeq lists it as uncharacterized. NCBI's taxonomy places the organism in Eukaryota, Metazoa, Arthropoda, Insecta, Diptera, Drosophilidae. The record is from RefSeq and is a predicted model, not a curated record. The transcript is spliced from 3 exons.